RNAcentral lists this long non-coding RNA (415 nucleotides) under Numida meleagris (helmeted guineafowl). RNAcentral describes it as "lncRNA (ENSNMEG00000015580.1)". Lineage: Eukaryota; Metazoa; Chordata; Aves; Galliformes; Numididae. The record is from RNAcentral.
GCUCCCUGCUGCUGAGCUAUAAAGGCAGCAGCCCAGCCCUAAACAUGCUUCCAUUGGUCAGUGAUAAUCAAGGUGCUUGUGUGCUGUUAGUGCUGUUUUGGCUGAAACUAGGAUGCUGUAUGACAGCAUCCCUAUUUCUGGCUUGGGGGGGCCUCUUGAUCCAGCGCAUCGCUUCUGCAGAUGUGGCAGGAGAUCCACUGUUAAUAAACCAGAUAGUAGUGAUCAACAGCAAGAAGCUGCUGCAGCUGAUAAAAUGGGAGUUAGAAAGCCUUACUCAAAAAGUAGUGUCUGGGAAGAGGCUUUUCCCUGUUCUUGUCAUGAAAAUUCAGAAAUCCAAUCCUGACCUCAAACAAGCCUUCAGCACUGCCUAAAUUAGUGUGGACUACAGAUUUCUUACGUGCAAACUCUCUUACCA